CAUUACAUAAUAUUAUACUAAAAUUGGAAGAGUAGAUACAGAGAAGAUUAGUAUGGUCUCUGCGCAAGGAUGACAAGUAAAAUCGUGAAGUGAUCCACAUUUUU
Molecule: non-coding RNA, 104 nt
Organism: Bombyx mori (domestic silkworm)
Lineage: Eukaryota; Metazoa; Arthropoda; Insecta; Lepidoptera; Bombycidae
Source: Rfam